RNAcentral lists this ribosomal RNA (253 nucleotides) under uncultured bacterium. RNAcentral's name for it is "partial 16S ribosomal RNA". It matches the Rfam family "Bacterial small subunit ribosomal RNA", at positions 524 to 776 of the family's 1533-position model. The record is from RNAcentral.
UACGUAGGUGGCAAGCGUUGUCCGGAAUUAUUGGGCGUAAAGCGCGCGCAGGUGGUUUCUUAAGUCUGAUGUGAAAGCCCACGGCUCAACCGUGGAGGGUCAUUGGAAACUGGGGAACUUGAGUGCAGGAGAGAAGAGUGGAAUUCCACGUGUAGCGGUGAAAUGCGUAGAUAUCUGGAGGAAUACCGGUGGCGAAGGCGGCAUCCUGGACCAACACUGACGCUGAGGCGCGAAAGCUAGGGGAGCAAACGGG